This 433-nucleotide ribosomal RNA is filed under the name uncultured bacterium. Its description in RNAcentral is "partial 16S ribosomal RNA". It matches the Rfam family "Bacterial small subunit ribosomal RNA", at positions 29 to 507 of the family's 1533-position model. The record is from RNAcentral.
AACGAACGCUGGCGGCAUGCCUAACACAUGCAAGUCGAACGAGACCUUCGGGUCUAGUGGCGCCCGGGUGCGUAACGCGUGGGAACCUGCCCUUAGGUUCGGAAUAACUCCCCGAAAGGGAUGCUAAUACCGGAUAAUGUCUUCGGACCAAAGAUUUAUCGCCUUUGGAUGGGCCCGCGUUGGAUUAGCUAGUUGGUAGGGUAAAAGCCUACCAAGGCGACGAUCCAUAGCUGGUCUGAGAGGAUGAUCAGCCACACUGGGACUGAGACACGGCCCAGACUCCUACGGGAGGCAGCAGUGGGGAAUAUUGGACAAUGGGCGAAAGCCUGAUCCAGCAAUGCCGCGUGAAUGAUGAAGGCCUUAGGGUUGUAAAGCUCUUUUACCCGGGAUGAUAAUGACAGUACCGGGAGAAUAAGCGACGGCUAACUCCGUG